GCCCUGGUAGCUCAGCGGAUAGAUCGCCUGACUACGGAUCAGGAGGCCGCAGGUUCGAAUCCUGUCCAGGGCU
RNAcentral lists this transfer RNA (73 nucleotides) under Arthrobacter caoxuetaonis. RNAcentral describes it as "Arthrobacter sp. zg-Y453 tRNA-Arg". It matches the Rfam family "tRNA". From Rfam's summary of the family: Transfer RNA (tRNA) molecules are approximately 80 nucleotides in length. The record is from RNAcentral. Lineage: Bacteria; Bacillati; Actinomycetota; Actinomycetes; Micrococcales; Micrococcaceae.